RNAcentral lists this ribosomal RNA (486 nucleotides) under uncultured bacterium. Its description in RNAcentral is "bacterial SSU rRNA". It matches the Rfam family "Bacterial small subunit ribosomal RNA", at positions 28 to 507 of the family's 1533-position model. The record is from RNAcentral.
GAUGUACGCUAGCGACAGGCUUAACACAUGCAAGUCAGGGGCAGCGAGGGCGUAGCAAUACGCCUGUCGGCGACCGGCGCACUGGUGAGUAACACGUAUGCGACCUGCCCCCUACAGGGGUAUAACCCGUAGAAAUGCGGACUAAUCCCCCAUAGUCCUGGGUGCUGCAUGGCAUUCAGGGGAAAGGGUUUCCGGUAGGGGAUGGGCAUGCGGCGCAUUAGCUUGUUGGCGGGGUAACGGCCCACCAAGGCGACGAUCAGUAGGGGUUCUGAGAGGAAGGUCCCCCACAUUGGAACUGAGACACGGUCCAAACUCCUACGGGAGGCAGCAGUGAGGAAUAUUGGUCAAUGGGCGCAAGCCUGAACCAGCCAAGUAGCGUGAGGGAAGACUGCCCUACGGGUUGUAAACCUCUUUUGUUUGGGAAUAAAGUGCGGGACGUGUCCCGCAUUGCAUGUACCAUUUGAAUAAGGACCGGCUAAUUCCGUG